CCGCGGGUGAGUAACGCGUAUCCAACCUGCCGUCUACUCUUGGACAGCCUUCUGAAAGGAAGAUUAAUACAAGAUGGCAUCAUGAGUCCGCAUGUUCACAUGAUUAAAGGUAUUCCGGUAGACGAUGGGGAUGCGUUCCAUUAGAUAGUAGGCGGGGUAACGGCCCACCUAGUCUUCGAUGGAUAGGGGUUCUGAGAGGAAGGUCCCCCACAUUGGAACUGAGACACGGUCCAA
This 234-nucleotide ribosomal RNA is filed under the name uncultured bacterium. RNAcentral describes it as "partial 16S ribosomal RNA". It matches the Rfam family "Bacterial small subunit ribosomal RNA", at positions 103 to 334 of the family's 1533-position model. The record is from RNAcentral.